RNAcentral lists this ribosomal RNA (212 nucleotides) under Micrococcus luteus. RNAcentral's name for it is "partial 23S ribosomal RNA". It matches the Rfam family "Bacterial large subunit ribosomal RNA", at positions 175 to 381 of the family's 2925-position model. The record is from RNAcentral. Lineage: Bacteria; Bacillati; Actinomycetota; Actinomycetes; Micrococcales; Micrococcaceae.
GAAGACAGACCCAGGGAACUGAAACAUCUAAGUACCUGGAGGAAGAGAAAGCAAAUGCGAUUUCCUGAGUAGCGGCGAGCGAAACGGGAUUAGCCCAAACCAGGAGGCUUGCCUCCUGGGGUUGUAGGACACUCUACACGGAGUUACAAAGGAACGGAGUAAAUGAACAGGCAUGGAAAGGCCGGCCAUAGAGGGUAACAGCCCCGUAGUUG